CCCUUAGAUGUUCUGGGCCGCACGCGCGCUACACUGAUGCAUUCAACGAGUCUAAAACCUGCUCUGAUAGGGGUGGGUAAUCUUUUGAAUGUGCAUCGUGAUUGGGAUAGAUGAUUGCAAUUUUUCAUCUUCAACGAGGAAUGCCUAGUAAACGCAAGUCAUCAGCUUGCAUUGAUUACGUCCCUGCCCUUUGUACACACCGCCCGUCGCUCCUACCGAUUGAAUGAUCCGAUGAAUAUCAUGGAUUGAGGAUGCAAGCAGGUUCGCCUGUCUUCAUCUUCGAGAAGUGAAGUAAAUCUUAUCAUUUAGAGAAAGGAGAAGUCGUAACA
Molecule: ribosomal RNA, 329 nt
Filed under: uncultured eukaryote
Lineage: Eukaryota
Description: partial 18S ribosomal RNA
Rfam family: Eukaryotic small subunit ribosomal RNA
Source: RNAcentral